RNAcentral lists this ribosomal RNA (434 nucleotides) under uncultured bacterium. Its description in RNAcentral is "bacterial SSU rRNA". It matches the Rfam family "Bacterial small subunit ribosomal RNA", at positions 954 to 1392 of the family's 1533-position model. The record is from RNAcentral.
GCAUAACGCGAAGAACCUUACCUAGACUUGACAUCUCCUGAAUUACCCUUAACCGGGGAAGCCCUUCGGGGCAGGAAGACAGGUGGUGCAUGGUUGUCGUCAGCUCGUGUCGUGAGAUGUUGGGUUAAGUCCCGCAACGAGCGCAACCCUUAUUAUUAGUUGCUGCCAUUAAGUUGAGCACUCUAGUAAGACUGCCCGGGUUAACCGGGAGGAAGGUGGGGAUGACGUCAAAUCAUCAUGCCCCUUAUGUCUAGGGCUACACACGUGCUACAAUGGUAGGUACAACAAGAUGCAAAGCCGUGAGGUGGAGCAAAACUGUAAAACCUAUCCCAGUUCGGAUUGAAGGCUGAAACUCGCCUUCAUGAAGCCGGAGUUGCUAGUAAUCGCGAAUCAGCAUGUCGCGGUGAAUACGUUCCCGGGUCUUGUACACACCG